This 492-nucleotide ribosomal RNA is filed under the name uncultured bacterium. RNAcentral describes it as "partial 16S ribosomal RNA". It matches the Rfam family "Bacterial small subunit ribosomal RNA", at positions 29 to 507 of the family's 1533-position model. The record is from RNAcentral.
AGUGAACGCUGGCGGUAGGCCUAACACAUGCAAGUCGAACGGCAGCACAGUAAGAGCUUGCUCUUACGGGUGGCGAGUGGCGGACGGGUGAGGAAUACAUCGGAAUCUACUUUUUCGUGGGGGAUAACGUAGGGACACUUACGCUAAUACCGCAUGCGACCUACGGGUGAAAGCAGGGGAUCUUCGGACCUUGCGCGAUUGAAUGAGCCGAGGUCGGAUUAGCUAGUUGGCGGGGUAAAGGCCCACCAAGGCGACGAUCCGUAGCUGGUCUGAGAGGAUGAUCAGCCACACUGGAACUGAGACACGGUCCAGACUCCUACGGGAGGCAGCAGUGGGGAAUAUUGGACAAUGGGCGCAAGCCUGAUCCAGCCAUACCGCGUGGGUGAAGAAGGCCUUCGGGUUGGAAAGCCCUUUUGUUGGGAAAGAAAAGCAGCAGGUUAAUACCCCGCUGUUCUGACGGUACCCAAAGAAGAAGCACCGGCUAACUUCGUG